Molecule: ribosomal RNA, 495 nt
Filed under: uncultured bacterium
Lineage: Bacteria
Description: partial 16S ribosomal RNA
Rfam family: Bacterial small subunit ribosomal RNA
Source: RNAcentral
UGAACGCUGGCGGCGUGCCUAAUACAUGCAAGUCGAGCGAACGGACGAGAAGCUUGCUUCUCUGAUGUUAGCGGCGGACGGGUGAGUAACACGUGGAUAACCUACCUAUAAGACUGGGAUAACUUCGGGAAACCGUAGCUAAUACCGGAUAAUAUUUUGAACCGCAUGGUUCAAAAGUGAAAGACGGUCUUGCUGUCACUUAUAGAUGGAUCCGCGCUGCAUUAGCUAGUUGGUAAGGUAACGGCUUACCAAGGCAACGAUGCAUAGCCGACCUGAGAGGGUGAUCGGCCACACUGGAACUGAGACACGGUCCAGACUCCUACGGGAGGCAGCAGUAGGGAAUCUUCCGCAAAGGGCGAAAGCCUGACGGAGCAACGCCGCGUGAGUGAUGAAGGUCUUCGGAUCGUAAAACUCUGUUAUUAGGGAAGAACAUAUGUGUAAGUAACUGUGCACAUCUUGACGGUACCUAAUCAGAAAGCCACGGCUAACUACGUG